GGCCUGCUCACUCUUUUGCGGUAUUAAUUUAGCUACCAUUACUGUAUCUGUAAACACCUUUAUUGCAAAUAGGCUAUAGCAUAUAAGCAAGCUAGCAUACCAACAGCUUUAUUAUGUCACUUUAGGACGUUUUUGUGGACUACUAAAAACGUUUUUGGCUUCCCAAAUGCUGAAGGACACAAUCAUUUGAAAUUCUUGUUGGCCGUCCGUUGGUCACCUCUCCUUAGGGACAUCCUCUCAUGUUCCUCCUCCAUGUUGCAAUAUCACUUCACUAAGGUUGCUGCUGGGUUGUUGUUUUUUGAGGUGCUUUUUAUUCAGUCCUUCACAGCAGAGAGGAGAGAGUGACACAUGACAAAAGCUCCAGGCGAGGACAAAACCAAGGACACGGUUGUACGUAGGUGGAAUGAGAACCUGUCUGACAGGAGAUUUGUCAUGGAUGUUGACCAUGUACUGAUGCUCCAUCACUCCCAGGUCUCUGUGUGGGUGUUUUGUGCCCUACCAGACCUGCACACAGACCCAGAUGAGCCUGCUCUUUGGAAAAUAAUAACCACUCUCACAGGAACAGGUUGAAGGUUAGGACCGAAAUCCAAUAAUAAACUUGGUCAAGUCCUUGUUCCUGUAUGCAUGGUUUUGCAUUGACAUUCCUCAUACAUCAAUAGAUCCGCUUUCUGAUAGAACUGAGUUAGUGGUGUUGACACUGAAGAGUUUUGUACAGCAAAUGUCAAAAUCGGCUGGUUUCAUUGACUGACCUUCGGCCCCCACAGUUCAAGUUGACACCAACACCAAUGAUCUUUCUUUAACAAAAGAUCAUAUCCUGCUGAGUCAGUCAGCAGAGUCAAAUGGCAAAACUGUUGGAGACUUUCUAUGAAGUGUUAUUUUCAACUAAUUUUAUGCAAGUAAACGCAAGCUUCCAUUUACAGACGGGACUGAUUCCUGACAUCUUGCAGAUUUCAUUGCUCUGGCUAAUGGAAUUUGUGACACCAGUAUAUGUACUUUGAACACGUACACUAGUGGUGAUGAUGAAGGUUUAAUCUGCUGCUAUUUUCAAUCAAAGCUAUAGUGCGUAGUUUCUGUCGCCCUCAUGAGGAAUUCUAAGUAAUGACAACAACACUGUGGUGCUUCCACAUGACUCAAGCCUUCGUGAUCGCGCACCACCCCCACCCCCCUCAUCCACACGGUUGCUAGUAGCGUUUAACCCGUCAAAUCAUGGAGAACACGGAGGAUUAAAUAAACAUGAUGGACUCUUCA
Perca flavescens (yellow perch) is the source of this 1248-nucleotide long non-coding RNA. RefSeq lists it as uncharacterized. NCBI's taxonomy places the organism in Eukaryota, Metazoa, Chordata, Actinopteri, Perciformes, Percidae. The record is from RefSeq and is a predicted model, not a curated record. The transcript has 3 exons.